GCUGGGUGUGGUGGCACACACCUAUAAUCCCAGCUACUGGGGAGGCUGAGGCAGGAGAAUCACUUGAACCCGGGAAGCAGAGAUUGCAGUGAGCCGAGAUCAUGCCACUGCAUUCCAGCCUGGGCAACAGAGUGAGACCCUGUCUCAA
RNAcentral lists this non-coding RNA (148 nucleotides) under Pan paniscus (pygmy chimpanzee). The record is from Rfam by way of RNAcentral. RNAcentral also lists the same sequence under 1 other name. Lineage: Eukaryota; Metazoa; Chordata; Mammalia; Primates; Hominidae.